Molecule: long non-coding RNA, 919 nt
Organism: Hydractinia symbiolongicarpus
Lineage: Eukaryota; Metazoa; Cnidaria; Hydrozoa; Anthoathecata; Hydractiniidae
Exons: 2
Source: RefSeq, a predicted model, not a curated record
AGUAAAGUUGAGCUUGAUAACUGACUAAUAAUUCUCAAUAUUCAAGUUCAGUGUUUCGUCUUUUGUUAUGUAAACAAAAUCAAUUGUAGGCUUAGGUAAAGCUAGCCGUACCUAACAGCCGUACCUAAGCCGUACCUUAGCCGUACGUAACUACACUUUUUUUUUAAGGUGAGGUAAUGUAUUUUAAUGGAAAAAACUGAGCUAAUCGUAGUGGUAAAUUUGUUGUGUCACUGAAUAAUUUCUGUUUCUCAAUCGCCAAUGAACCUGCAAAAUACGAAAAAUGUUAACGAAACAUCUUGCUCUUAUAGAAACCAAACAGGGGAGAGCGCAGGAAGGUGAUUCCCAAAUCGACAAAAUUAAGUACGGCUGGCAAUAAAAAGGUGGUUAGUACGAGCGGUGAACUUCAAUGCGACUUAUCAAGUAAAGUAAAAUAAAGGGGAUAGGACCAAAUCUGUAACAGAUCUAUCCGAUCUUGAUGCAAUAUAUCGAAACGCUAACAACUGUAAAAGAAAGAUGUCGAUAAAAUCAAAGGUCGUAAAGAGUGAUUUAGAGGUAGCUGGGAUAGAUACAGGCCAGUUCUGUUUAAAGUCAGUCAGUGUGACUCUUAACCCAAUUGCCAAACAAUUCACAAAAAUACUGGGUAAGAACUUGGCCAGGUCUUCCUUCCUUGACGCUGCUAAUGACAUUCUCUCCAUAUUACUUCGAUAUUGUCGACUUCUAAUGAUAGUGGCGAUGCUUUUAUCGAAGGUUUCAUCAUUGACUGUUGCACAACAGUAAGAACGUAUAAAGGACGCUUCAGAACAAAUAAAUUUCAAAACAUGCUUACAUAUAUUUUCAGAAAGUUGAUAUGAAAUAUCAUUUUGAAAAAGACGUUGCAUGUCUUUAACUACUUUGUUUGUUGCAAUCUCCUUUACAAAAA